CGCGAGCAUCUACAACAGUCAAGUUAUGAAGGGCUUACGGUGGAUGCCUUGGCGCCAGGAGCCGAUGAAGGACGUGUCAGGCUGCGAAAAGCUUCGGGGAGCUGCCGAGAGAGCUUUGAUCCGGAGAUGUCCGAAUGGGGAAACCCGGCCGGGGUCAUGCCCGGUCACCCGUCGCUGAACACAUAGGCGAUGAGGAGGGAACCGCCCGAAGUGAAACAUCUCAGUAGGGCGAGGAAGAGAAAGCAACCGCGACUCCCCUAGUAGCGGCGAGCGAACGGGGAACAGCCUAAACCGGUGCGGUGGAAAGCCCGACGGCGUUGCCGUGCCGGUGUCGUGGGACCCACAAGGAUCCUCGUCGGAAGAUCCAAGGAGUGACAAAACCGAUAUCUAGACGAAGGCCAUGGAAAGGGCCGCCGCAGAAGGUAACAGCCCUGUAGUCGAAAGGUGAUCGGUCUCCUCGUGGGGAUCCCGAGUAGCACGGGACCCCUGAAAUCCCGUGUGAAUCUGGGGGGCCCACCCCCUAAGGCUAAGCACUCCCUGGCGACCGAUAGUGAACCAGUACCGUGAGGGAAAG
RNAcentral lists this ribosomal RNA (574 nucleotides) under Actinomycetes bacterium. RNAcentral describes it as "Actinobacteria bacterium partial 23S ribosomal RNA". It matches the Rfam family "Bacterial large subunit ribosomal RNA", at positions 1 to 513 of the family's 2925-position model. Lineage: Bacteria; Bacillati; Actinomycetota; Actinomycetes. The record is from RNAcentral.